Long non-coding RNA from Lynx canadensis (Canada lynx), 1225 nucleotides. RefSeq lists it as uncharacterized. Lineage: Eukaryota; Metazoa; Chordata; Mammalia; Carnivora; Felidae. The transcript is spliced from 2 exons. The record is from RefSeq and is a predicted model, not a curated record.
UGUCAUAGCCUUUCGAGACUCAUUGAAAACCAAGGGCCUCCUUCCAGGAAAAUGUGCAUAUAAUUACUGACAUGAAUGUUUGGUUAAAGUUUCAGGAUGUUCAUGGAUUGUCUGAAGGCCUACUCUUGUGCCUCAGGUUCAGCAUCCCUAGAAAAUUAAGCCUGUGGUUGAAGAGAAGAGCCCCCUGGACAGAGGCUCUACUAUGGCCCAGCUGGACACUGCUGUGCGUCUUUUAACUGCUCGUUUGCAAGCCCAGUAAACAAGAGAAGUGAGAGUAGCUUCAAACAGGCUGAGAUGUCGUCCUCACCAGGCUUCUAAUUGGAGCCACCUGUGGUCUGCCUUGACUCGGGGUACCACCCCCCAGUAAUGUUGCCCAGGGCUCCCUGGCAGGGGCAAGGCAGGGACAUGCGGAAGCAGUAGACUGAGGACAUGUGGGCAGUUUAUUCUUUGAUGUCCUUGGAAGAGUGGUCACAGAUUGCAUGAUCUAAGUCAACAACCAGGACAGAUAACCCUCAGGAGAAUGAAGGUCAUUUCAACUAACAUGGUAAGUUCCUAUGAGAGGACUUUAAAUCAGCGCUCUCUCUCUCUCUCUCUCUCUCUCUCUCUCUCUCUCAGAUCUUUUCUUUACAUCUGUGGGUACCCCUGCCAGGUAACCAAAUAAUACAAAGCACAUAGCAUAUAGGAGAAUGGCUUCUUUCUAAGCACCCCCCAAAUGAUGGAACUACCUAGAGAUUAGUGCCUUUUUUGUGGGGAAGACUUUGAUCAUUGUGCCAUUAGAGACCAAGGUUGGAGGAAGCCAAGCCCACAAUCAGAAUGUAAUUGAAGUAUGUUACCUAUAAUAGGUUCAGAUGUUUGUGAUCUUCAGCACUUUAUGAAUUCUGCAGCAGAUGGGCGAGGGCCAGGUAGCGGGCGAGAACAGACUGAGUAAGGCAGGCUGGCACUCUGACAAGGGCAGCCCCAGCUGUGGUCCGGGUGUUAUUCAGCACGCCCACCCACUGCACCAGCAGCCUGCCUUCCCGAGCUCGUGGCCACGGCCGCUUUAAUGAAGAGUGGAGGUAAGCAUGAAUCCCGGCUUUCCAGGGAUCGCAACAUUUGAGAAACCCAGAAGAAUCGACAUGAUGGAAAUGGUGCCAAGUUCUUCUGCCUCUUGCUUUUCAACAAAAAAGAGAAAGAAAGAAGGAGAGAGAAGAGAGGGAAUCUGCUAAUAAAAUGCAUGUCUAAACAC